Molecule: microRNA precursor, 95 nt
Filed under: Canis lupus familiaris (dog)
Lineage: Eukaryota; Metazoa; Chordata; Mammalia; Carnivora; Canidae
Also listed under: 1 other name
Description: mir-8799 microRNA precursor family
Rfam family: mir-8799 microRNA precursor family
Source: Rfam by way of RNAcentral
GGGGGGAGCGACGGAUCCUGGGCUGUGUCCCCCGGUGCCCUGGGCUCUGGGGCCUGUGCUGCUGGAAUCGCUCUCCCAGGGAGGCACAGCUCCCU